UUUUGUGCGUUGAUGAAGCAAUUUGUGGACUAGAGUUUCUGAUCAUGGGCUCUUCUUCCCAUUAUGUUUGACGACAAACCCUUGGCUGUCUGAGUGCAAAU
Small nucleolar RNA from Lactuca sativa (garden lettuce), 101 nucleotides. RefSeq annotates it as small nucleolar RNA Z157/R69/R10. NCBI's taxonomy places the organism in Eukaryota, Viridiplantae, Streptophyta, Magnoliopsida, Asterales, Asteraceae. The record is from RefSeq and is a predicted model, not a curated record.